Non-coding RNA from Pelobates cultripes (western spadefoot toad), 221 nucleotides. The record is from the annotation of a GenBank genome assembly. Lineage: Eukaryota; Metazoa; Chordata; Amphibia; Anura; Pelobatidae.
UCAGCACGCACGUAAGGUGGGAGGAACCAAGUGGAAGCCGGGAGGUUUGAACGGCGAUUGCAUUACAGCGGAUUAGCUUGCAAUCUGGACUCCAUAUAUUGGAACCUCGUCUGACUUACCUGCAGGAGACAUCUCCCAGCGUGGGGAAGCGUGCUUGUGAGUCACGGGAAAAUAUAUCGUUGUACUCACCAUCAACUCUAGUAAGCAGUUAUCUGUUUACC